GAUAUAGCUGGUUUUCUGCGAAAUCUGUUUUAGCAAAUUAUUUAUUUUAUUAUUAGUAGGUAUAGCACUGAAUAUUUUUUUUUCAAUAGAGGGAGUAUUAAUUUACUUAUCUAGAAUAUUUAAUCUCAGAAUGGCUAAUAAGUUAGGUAAAUAAUCGGACUUUUUGCGAUAAGGUAUAAAGUCUAAAGGGAAACAGCCCAGAACAGUA
RNAcentral lists this ribosomal RNA (208 nucleotides) under Pneumocystis carinii f. sp. suis. RNAcentral describes it as "partial large subunit ribosomal RNA". It matches the Rfam family "Bacterial large subunit ribosomal RNA", at positions 842 to 1037 of the family's 2925-position model. The record is from RNAcentral. Lineage: Eukaryota; Fungi; Ascomycota; Pneumocystomycetes; Pneumocystales; Pneumocystaceae.